RNAcentral lists this ribosomal RNA (350 nucleotides) under uncultured Barnesiella sp. RNAcentral describes it as "bacterial SSU rRNA". It matches the Rfam family "Bacterial small subunit ribosomal RNA", at positions 355 to 704 of the family's 1533-position model. The record is from RNAcentral. Lineage: Bacteria; Pseudomonadati; Bacteroidota; Bacteroidia; Bacteroidales; Barnesiellaceae.
UGAGGAAUAUUGGUCAAUGGGGCGCAGGCCUGAACCAGCCAAGUCGCGUGAGGGAAGACGGUCCUACGGAUUGUAAACCUCUUUUGUCGGGGAGUAACGUGCGGGACGCGUCCCGUAUUGAGAGUACCCGAAGAAAAGCAUCGGCUAACUCCGUGCCAGCAGCCGCGGUAAUACGGAGGAUGCGAGCGUUAUCCGGAUUUAUUGGGUUUAAAGGUGCGCAGGCGGCGCGCCAAGUCAGCGGUCAAAGUUCCGGGCUCAACCCGGUGUCGCCGUUGAAACUGGCGUGCUCGAGUGCGUGCGAGGAAGGCGGAAUGCGUUGUGUAGCGGUGAAAUGCAUAGAUAUCUGGAAG